AAAAAUUCUCAGAUCUGUGUUAUGCCAUAGCAAACGGAUUCCUGCAUUCCCUUCCGAUGAGGAUUUUGCCCCUGAAGAGCCUACCCAUGAAGUUUCUAACACUUCAACACAAUUAUUGUUACUUUCAAGUGAAGAUGAGUGUGAAGUUCAGGUUCAAUUACCUGGUACCUCAACACCACAGGAACCAUCGUUGCUCAGUGUGGAUACAGCCAGUGACUUGGAUGGUUAUGGGUCUCCCAACGACACUGAGGAUCCACACCCUACACUGAAUCACUCUGUUGUUUCCAGCCACUCGCAACAGCCUAACGGAUCAGACACUCCCUCAGCAUCCACAACAGUCUCCAUGAGGUCAUAUCUAAUGCCUAAUUCAUUUGAUAUAAAGAAGCAUUUCCAUUUCAGUAGCACUUUUUUAGUGAUCUAUUAGUUAUAUUUUAUCAUCUUAAGUAUAAUUUUCUACAAUAGGAAAAGAAAGCGUUUCCGUGAAAAAAUACAACUCAGGAGGAGAAAGAGAAGACUGUCUGUUCCGUUGAAUGGACAAGGAGUAUCCGUUACUUGUCCAAUCGACAAGUCUGACAAUGCAACAUCUGAAUACAAAAGACUAUCUGCCCACACUAAAAAAACAAUGAGCACUCAAAAACGGAUUACUCGUGCUUUUGAAGGGUUUAAUCUAGCUUUAGGUGCUGGCAUCAUUCCUGUUUUAUCAGAACACUAUAGGUUUAGAAAACAAAAAGAAGUCAUGUUAAAUGAUAGUGUAGUGUGUAUUAACUGGGAACAUUUGUAAAAAAGUCGACAUAAUGUCAACAUUUAUUAUCUUACUGUGAAAUAUUUUUGAAAGUUUGUCAUUCUUCUUUGUGUAUUUGUGGGACAUGAAGGG
This is a long non-coding RNA of Acipenser ruthenus (sterlet), 874 nucleotides long. RefSeq lists it as uncharacterized. The transcript is spliced from 4 exons. NCBI's taxonomy places the organism in Eukaryota, Metazoa, Chordata, Actinopteri, Acipenseriformes, Acipenseridae. The record is from RefSeq and is a predicted model, not a curated record.